Molecule: ribosomal RNA, 426 nt
Filed under: uncultured bacterium
Lineage: Bacteria
Description: bacterial SSU rRNA
Rfam family: Bacterial small subunit ribosomal RNA
Source: RNAcentral
GAAUCUUGGGCAAUGGGCGAAAGCCUGACCCAGCAACGCCGCGUGAGGGAUGAAGGCCUUCGGGUCGUAAACCUCUGUCGGGAGGGAAGAACGAUCGCAAGGUGAACAAUCUUGGGGUCUGACGGUACCUCCAACGGAAGCGCCGGCUAACUCCGUGCCCGCAGCCGCGGUAAUACGGAGGGCGCAAGCGUUGUUCGGAAUCAUUGGGCGUAAAGCGCGUGUAGGCGGCUUGGCAAGUCGGGUGUGAAAUCCCGGGGCUCAACCCCGGAACUGCAUUCGAUACUGCCUGGCUAGAGUCCCGGAGAGGAGGGCGGAUUUCCCGGUGUAGAGGUGAAAUUCGUAGAUAUCGGGAGGAACACCAGUGGCGAAGGCGGCCCUCUGGACGGUGACUGACGCUGAGAUGCGAAAGCGUGGGGAGCAAACAGG